UACGGAGGGUGCGAGCGUUAAUCGGAAUUACUGGGCGUAAAGCGCAUGCAGGCGGUUUGUUAAGUCAGAUGUGAAAGCCCGGGGCUCAACCUCGGAACCGCAUUUGAAACUGGCAGGCUAGAGUCUUGUAGAGGGGGGUAGAAUUUCAGGUGUAGCGGUGAAAUGCGUAGAGAUCUGAAGGAAUACCAGUGGCGAAGGCGGCCCCCUGGACAAAGACUGACGCUCAGAUGCGAAAGCGUGGGUAGCAAAC
This 250-nucleotide ribosomal RNA is filed under the name uncultured bacterium. RNAcentral's name for it is "partial 16S ribosomal RNA". It matches the Rfam family "Bacterial small subunit ribosomal RNA", at positions 524 to 773 of the family's 1533-position model. The record is from RNAcentral.